AAUCGUCAACUGAUUGCUGAAUAAAGAAAAGCGCCUUAGCAUCUUUUUUCAGAUUCUCUCCGGUUGUUUCCUUGCAUCCUUUUUCGACAAAAUCCCAUAAAUCUUGGGAUCGCAGCAACGUCCGCAUCUUCACGCACCAAAAAUCAUAAUUGUCCCCCUUGAAUAUCGGAAAUCCUUGUGCAACUCCGUUAGCGCUGUUAAACGCCAUCGACACCUUCUCCUCUCGAAAUCCAGGCUCUGAUACCACUUGUUACGGCGGUGGACAACCAACAAAUACGUUCUAUAUACUUGUUAUGGUAUAUAGAGAUCUCCACAAAAAAUAAAAUAGAAAAGACGAGAGAGGAAGAAGACAAAUCAAAAAAUCUAGUACGUUGUUGUGGAAGCAAAAGGAAACUAAUAAUAAUGAAGAAAAGU
This 414-nucleotide long non-coding RNA is filed under the name Ananas comosus (pineapple). RNAcentral describes it as "long non-coding RNA (ACOM_LNC020003)". The record is from RNAcentral. Lineage: Eukaryota; Viridiplantae; Streptophyta; Magnoliopsida; Poales; Bromeliaceae.